Hyla sarda is the source of this 604-nucleotide long non-coding RNA. RefSeq lists it as uncharacterized. Lineage: Eukaryota; Metazoa; Chordata; Amphibia; Anura; Hylidae. The record is from RefSeq and is a predicted model, not a curated record. The transcript has 3 exons.
UAAGGCAUUCUCAUUUGAGUAUUGGCAAGCUAUGAGUAAGGGUAUAGCAACCUGAAACGCGUCAGCCUUGUUUGGGACUGUUUUUCCAUGUGCAAUUUUUCUACUUUUGUAUAUGUCCGUGUCUUUCUGCCACCAUGAAGGUUUUUAACGAGGAUUCGUGAAUAAAGUUUUGAAGAUUUCAUUCAGCCGUGCUGGCCUUUUUCUACUUUUUUCUGCUUUGGUUGGAGGUAGCCGUGCACGCCCCAGGAGAACCAGAGAACUAGAGAACAGCAGGAUUUCCAUCAGCCCUUCCUCAGGUUUGUGGCAGCCUUCCCUGCAUGGAGCCCCAGACCUCCACCUCCCGUACUAGGCCGGCAGGGGGUGGAAGAGACACUGCAACGACCAACUCCCAGGAGGGGACGGAAGCCGCAAGGCUGCAAGCAUGUCUGCAAGCAAGGCUACAAACAAGGCUACAGGAAAAGGCCUACAUGGAGAUCUGUGUAUCCUGCUAAUUUUAUUAUGAUAAAGUCAUCAUUGGAAAUAACUUAUUCUGUGAUUGAAGAAAGGAAGCAAAAAAUAUGUUGAGAAAAAAAGAGAAUGCAGAAUUAACUUGAAAUAUGUUUUG